Molecule: ribosomal RNA, 492 nt
Filed under: uncultured bacterium
Lineage: Bacteria
Description: partial 16S ribosomal RNA
Rfam family: Bacterial small subunit ribosomal RNA
Source: RNAcentral
AGUGAACGCUGGCGGUAGGCCUAACACAUGCAAGUCGAACGGCAGCACAGUAAGAGCUUGCUCUUACGGGUGGCGAGUGGCGGACGGGUGAGGAAUACAUCGGAAUCUACUUUUUCGUGGGGGAUAACGUAGGGAAACUUACGCUAAUACCGCAUACGACCUACGGGUGAAAGCAGGGGAUCUUCGGACCUUGCGCGAUUGAAUGAGCCGAUGUCGGGUUAGCUAGUUGGCGGGGUAAAGGCCCACCAAGGCGACGAUCCGUAGCUGGUCUGAGAGGAUGAUCAGCCACACUGGAACUGAGACACGGUCCAGACUCCUACGGGAGGCAGCAGUGGGGAAUAUUGGACAAUGGGCGCAAGCCUGAUCCAGCCAUACCGCGUGGGUGAAGAAGGCCUUCGGGUUGUAAAGCCCUUUUGUUGGGAAUGAAAAGCAGCAGGUUAAUACCCCGCUGUUCUGACGGUACCCAAAGAAUAAGCACCGGCUAACUUCGUG